AACGAACGCUGGCGGCGCGCCUAAUACAUGCAAGUCGAACGAGAAGGUGUAGCAAUACACUUGUACAGUGGCGAACGGGUGAGGAAUGCAUGGGCAACCUACCCUCGAGUGGGGAAUAACCAGCCGAAAGGUUGGCUAAUACCGCGUACGCUUCCGGGUCUCCGGAUCCGGAAGGAAAGUCACACCGUGGGUGUGACGCUCAAGGAUGGGCUCAUGUCCUAUCAGCUGUUGGUGAGGUAACGGCUCACCAAGGCAACGACGGGUAGCUGGUCUGAGAGGACGAUCAGCCACACUGGCACUGCGACACGGGCCAGACUCCUACGGAGGCAGCAGUAAGGAAUAUUGCGCAAUGGGCGAAAGCCUGACGCAGCGACGCCGCGUGGGGAGUG
This 389-nucleotide ribosomal RNA is filed under the name uncultured bacterium. RNAcentral's name for it is "bacterial SSU rRNA". It matches the Rfam family "Bacterial small subunit ribosomal RNA", at positions 29 to 410 of the family's 1533-position model. The record is from RNAcentral.